AUUGAACGCUGGCGGCAUGCUUUACACAUGCAAGUCGAACGGUAACAGGGUGCUUGCACCGCUGACGAGUGGCGAACGGGUGAGUAAUGCGUCGGAACGUGCCAAGUAGUGGGGGAUAACGCAGCGAAAGUUGUGCUAAUACCGCAUACGUACUGAGGUAGAAAGUGGGGGACCUUCGGGCCUCACGCUAUUCGAGCGGCCGACGUCUGAUUAGCUAGUAGGUGAGGUAAAGGCUCACCUAGGCGACGAUCAGUAGCGGGUCUGAGAGGAUGAUCCGACACACUGGGACUGAGACACGGCCCAGACUCCUACGGGAGGCAGCAGUGGGGAAUUUUGGACAAUGGGCGAAAGCCUGAUCCAGCCAUGCCGCGUGUCUGAAGAAGGCCUUCGGGUUGUAAAGGACUUUUGUCAGGGAGGAAAUCCCUAGUGCUAAUAACACUGGGGGAUGACAGUACCUGAAGAAUAAGCACCGGCUAACUACGUGCCAGCCGCCGCGGUAA
Molecule: ribosomal RNA, 500 nt
Filed under: uncultured bacterium
Lineage: Bacteria
Description: partial 16S ribosomal RNA
Rfam family: Bacterial small subunit ribosomal RNA
Source: RNAcentral